Molecule: ribosomal RNA, 418 nt
Filed under: uncultured bacterium
Lineage: Bacteria
Description: bacterial SSU rRNA
Rfam family: Bacterial small subunit ribosomal RNA
Source: RNAcentral
UGGGGAAUAUUGGGCAAUGGGGGAAACCCUGACCCAGCAACGCCGCGUGAAGGAAGAAGGCUUUCGGGUUGUAAACUUCUUUUACCAGGGACGAAAGGACGUGACGGUACCUGGAGAAAAAGCAACGGCUAACUACGUGCCAGCAGCCGCGGUAAUACGUAGGUUGCAAGCGUUGUCCGGAUUUACUGGGUGUAAAGGGCGUGUAGGCGGAGAAGCAAGUUGGGAGUGAAAUCCAUGGGCUCAACCCAUGAACUGCUCUCAAAACUGUUUCCCUUGAGUAUCGGAGAGGCAAGCGGAAUUCCUAGUGUAGCGGUGAAAUGCGUAGAUAUUAGGAGGAACACCAGUGGCGAAGGCGGCUUGCUGGACGACAACUGACGCUGAGGCGCGAAAGCGUGGGGAGCAAACAGGAUUAGAUACC